GCUCCGGUGGUGUAGUGGUAGUAACACGCGUCUCCAGUAUAGACGAAACGCGGAUUCAAGUCCCACUUGAGGUC
Molecule: non-coding RNA, 74 nt
Organism: Parelaphostrongylus tenuis
Lineage: Eukaryota; Metazoa; Nematoda; Chromadorea; Rhabditida; Metastrongylidae
Source: the annotation of a GenBank genome assembly